ACCCUGGACUCGGCUUACCGAGCAUUCCUAUCGCAGAGGUGCCCGAGGAAUGGCGACAGUUCGGUCUUGAACGACCUCGAUCCAACGACGCCGGACACCUUCGACAACCACUACUACACCAACAUCGAAGUGAACCGGGGGUUCCUCACCUCCGAUCAGGAGCUCAAGUCCGCACCCGAAGCGCAGGGCACCACGGCACCGAUUGUCGAUCAGUUCGCGAGCAGCCAGGAUGCCUUCUUUGCUAGUUUUGCACAGUCCAUGAUCAACAUGGGGAACAUAAGGCCAGUGACGGAUCCAUCCCAAGGGGAAGUCAGGACAAACUGCAGAAGGAUCAACUGAAGUUAAUCAAGGAGGAAAGAAACUGUGCGUUCGGUUUAUUUAUAUACUUGAUUACAAAUAAGAGCUCAAAUUUGGCUCCUCAAGUGUGAUGAUAUUAGAUAUACUUUUCAUUUUCCAACUUUAAUUAUUUGUUUCUGGGAGGCAAGGAGGAACUGCAGAUCAAGGAUUUACGCUCAUGUCGUGUGGAUGAAUCAGUUUGAACAAUGUUUUGAGAGC
This 555-nucleotide long non-coding RNA is filed under the name Setaria viridis. RNAcentral's name for it is "long non-coding RNA (SVIR_LNC011016)". The record is from RNAcentral. Lineage: Eukaryota; Viridiplantae; Streptophyta; Magnoliopsida; Poales; Poaceae.